Molecule: ribosomal RNA, 409 nt
Filed under: Actinomycetes bacterium
Lineage: Bacteria; Bacillati; Actinomycetota; Actinomycetes
Description: Actinobacteria bacterium partial 16S ribosomal RNA
Rfam family: Bacterial small subunit ribosomal RNA
Source: RNAcentral
UGGGGAAUAUUGCACAAUGGGCGGAAGCCUGAUGCAGCGACGCCGCGUGGGGGAUGAAGGCCUUCGGGUUGUAAACUCCUUUCGACAGGGACGAAGCUUUUGUGACGGUACCUGUAUAAGAAGCACCGGCUAACUACGUGCCAGCAGCCGCGGUAAUACGUAGGGUGUGAGCGUUGUCCGGAAUUACUGGGCGUAAAGAGCUCGUAGGUGGUUUGUCGCGUCGUCUGUGAAAUUCCGGGGCUUAACUCCGGGCGUGCAGGCGAUACGGGCUGACUUGAGUGCUGUAGGGGAGACUGGAAUUCCUGGUGUAGCGGUGAAAUGCGCAGAUAUCAGGAGGAACACCGAUGGCGAAGGCAGGUCUCUGGGCAGUAACUGACGCUGAGGAGCGAAAGCAUGGGUAGCGAACAGG